GGGGAAUUUUCCGCAAUGGGCGCAAGUCUGACGGAGCAACGCCGCGUGCAGGAGGACGCUUUUCGGAGUGUAAACUGCUUUUCUGUGGGACGAGCAAGGACGGUACCACAGGAAGAAGCCCCGGCUAACUACGUGCCAGCAGCCGCGGUAAUACGUAGGGGGCGAGCGUUGUCCGGAGUUACUGGGCGUAAAGGGCAUGCAGGCGGUCGGACGCGUUUCCAGUGACAGUGGGUGGCUUACCUACCCGAGGAUUGGAAAGACGGUUUGACUUGAGGACUCGAGAGGGACACGGAAUUCCGGGUGGAGUGGUGAAAUGCGUAGAGAUCCGGAGGAACAUCAAAGGCGAAGGCAGUGUCCUGGCGAGUAACUGACGCUGAGGUGCGAAAGCUAGGGGAGCGAAAGGGAUUAGAUACCCCUGUAGUCA
This 424-nucleotide ribosomal RNA is filed under the name uncultured bacterium. Its description in RNAcentral is "bacterial SSU rRNA". It matches the Rfam family "Bacterial small subunit ribosomal RNA", at positions 356 to 796 of the family's 1533-position model. The record is from RNAcentral.